GUGGGGAAUAUUGGACAAUGGGGGGAACCCUGAUCCAGCCAUGCCGCGUGUGUGAAGAAGGCCUUUUGGUUGUAAAGCACUUUAAGCGAGGAGGAGGCUACCGAGAUUAAUACUCUUGGAUAGUGGACGUUACUCGCAGAAUAAGCACCGGCUAACUCUGUGUCAGCAGCCGCGGUAAUACAGAGGGUGCAAGCGUUAAUCGGAUUUACUGGGCGUAAAGCGCGCGUAGGUGGCCAAUUAAGUCAAAUGUGAAAUCCCCGAGCUUAACUUGGGAAUUGCAUUCGAUACUGGUUGGCUAGAGUAUGGGAGAGGAUGGUAGAAUUCCAGGUGUAGCGGUGAAAUGCGUAGAGAUCUGGAGGAAUACCGAUGGCGAAGGCAGCCAUCUGGACCAGCACUGACACUGAGGCACGAAAGCGUGGGGAGCAAACAGGAUUAGAAACCCCGGUAGUCC
Molecule: ribosomal RNA, 451 nt
Filed under: uncultured bacterium
Lineage: Bacteria
Description: partial 16S ribosomal RNA
Rfam family: Bacterial small subunit ribosomal RNA
Source: RNAcentral